This 1426-nucleotide ribosomal RNA is filed under the name Salmonella enterica. RNAcentral's name for it is "partial 23S ribosomal RNA". It matches the Rfam family "Bacterial large subunit ribosomal RNA", at positions 1525 to 2925 of the family's 2925-position model. The record is from RNAcentral. Lineage: Bacteria; Pseudomonadati; Pseudomonadota; Gammaproteobacteria; Enterobacterales; Enterobacteriaceae. RNAcentral also lists the same sequence under 2 other names.
GUGUGUUCCAGGUAAAUCCGGUUCACUUUAACACUGAGGCGUGAUGACGAGGCACUACGGUGCUGAAGCAACAAAUGCCCUGCUUCCAGGAAAAGCCUCUAAGCAUCAGGUAACAUCAAAUCGUACCCCAAACCGACACAGGUGGUCAGGUAGAGAAUACCAAGGCGCUUGAGAGAACUCGGGUGAAGGAACUAGGCAAAAUGGUGCCGUAACUUCGGGAGAAGGCACGCUGACACGUAGGUGAAGUGAUUUACUCAUGGAGCUGAAGUCAGUCGAAGAUACCAGCUGGCUGCAACUGUUUAUUAAAAACACAGCACUGUGCAAACACGAAAGUGGACGUAUACGGUGUGACGCCUGCCCGGUGCCGGAAGGUUAAUUGAUGGGGUCAGCGCAAGCGAAGCUCCUGAUCGAAGCCCCGGUAAACGGCGGCCGUAACUAUAACGGUCCUAAGGUAGCGAAAUUCCUUGUCGGGUAAGUUCCGACCUGCACGAAUGGCGUAAUGAUGGCCAGGCUGUCUCCACCCGAGACUCAGUGAAAUUGAACUCGCUGUGAAGAUGCAGUGUACCCGCGGCAAGACGGAAAGACCCCGUGAACCUUUACUAUAGCUUGACACUGAACAUUGAGCCUUGAUGUGUAGGAUAGGUGGGAGGCUUUGAAGUGUGGACGCCAGUCUGCAUGGAGCCGACCUUGAAAUACCACCCUUUAAUGUUUGAUGUUCUAACGUGGACCCGUGAUCCGGGUUGCGGACAGUGUCUGGUGGGUAGUUUGACUGGGGCGGUCUCCUCCUAAAGAGUAACGGAGGAGCACGAAGGUUGGCUAAUCCUGGUCGGACAUCAGGAGGUUAGUGCAAUGGCAUAAGCCAGCUUGACUGCGAGCGUGACGGCGCGAGCAGGUGCGAAAGCAGGUCAUAGUGAUCCGGUGGUUCUGAAUGGAAGGGCCAUCGCUCAACGGAUAAAAGGUACUCCGGGGAUAACAGGCUGAUACCGCCCAAGAGUUCAUAUCGACGGCGGUGUUUGGCACCUCGAUGUCGGCUCAUCACAUCCUGGGGCUGAAGUAGGUCCCAAGGGUAUGGCUGUUCGCCAUUUAAAGUGGUACGCGAGCUGGGUUUAGAACGUCGUGAGACAGUUCGGUCCCUAUCUGCCGUGGGCGCUGGAGAACUGAGGGGGGCUGCUCCUAGUACGAGAGGACCGGAGUGGACGCAUCACUGGUGUUCGGGUUGUCAUGCCAAUGGCACUGCCCGGUAGCUAAAUGCGGAAGAGAUAAGUGCUGAAAGCAUCUAAGCACGAAACUUGCCCCGAGAUGAGUUCUCCCUGAGACUUUAGGUCUCCUGAAGGAACGUUGAAGACGACGACGUUGAUAGGCCGGGUGUGUAAGCGCAGCGAUGCGUUGAGCUAACCGGUACUAAUGAACCGUGAGGCUUAACCUU